CUAUGGUUGCUUCAGCCAGCAACACUUGUGUGUUGUUUCUGCCCACAAGGACAGUUUGUAAUGAAGAAGUAGGCUGUGUGCAUACGGAACCAGGCUAAGGGGCUUUUUGCAUCAUCUUCCACAGAAGUGCAGGUAAGAAAACUUUAUCGUCUCAUCCUCCUUGUCCCUACCUACCCCCACCCCCCAAAAAAAGCUAAUUGGGAAAUCAUAUGAUUGUCUUUAUCACUAAGUCCCCCUUCUAUACUAAGCAAAUAAAAUAACAAGGACAAAUGGGUCUUGGUAAUG
RNAcentral lists this long non-coding RNA (285 nucleotides) under Struthio camelus australis. RNAcentral's name for it is "lncRNA (ENSSCUG00000014560.1)". The record is from RNAcentral. Lineage: Eukaryota; Metazoa; Chordata; Aves; Struthioniformes; Struthionidae.